CCCGGCGACCGGCGCACGGGUGAGUAACACGUAUGCAACCUGGCCGUGACAGAUGGAUAACCGGGAGAAAUCCCGCCCUAAUACAGCAUGACGCCGGAAGGGACAUCCCUUUCCGGCCAAAGGGGGCGACUCCGGUCACGGAUGGGCAUGCGGCGCAUUAGGUAGUUGGUGGGGCAACGGCCCACCAAGCCGACGAUGCGUAGGGGUUCUGAGAGGAAGGUCCCCCACAUUGGAACUGAGACACGGUCCAAACUCCUACGGGAGGCAGCAG
RNAcentral lists this ribosomal RNA (271 nucleotides) under uncultured bacterium. Its description in RNAcentral is "partial 16S ribosomal RNA". It matches the Rfam family "Bacterial small subunit ribosomal RNA", at positions 87 to 354 of the family's 1533-position model. The record is from RNAcentral.